CGGCAGGCCUAACACAUGCAAGUCGAGGGGUAACAGAAAGUGCUUGCACUUUGCUGACGACCGGCGAACGGGUGAGUACCGCGUAUACAAUCUGCCUCAUACUAGGGAAUAGCCCGAAGAAAUUUGGAUUAAUGCCCUAUAGUAUCUUUUUAAGGCAUCUUAUUAAGAUUAAAGAUUACGGUAUGAGAUGAGUAUGCGUUCUAUUAGCUAGUAGGUGUGGUAACGGCACACCUAGGCUACGAUAGAUAGGGGCCCUGAGAGGGGGAUCCCCCACACUGGUACUGAGACACGGACCAGACUCCUACGGGAGGCAGCAGUGAGGAAUAUUGGACAAUGGGCGAAAGCCUGAUCCAGCCAUGCCGCGUGCAGGAUGACUGCCCUAUGGGUUGUAAACUGCUUUUAUACAGGAAGAAACUACUCUACGUGUAGAGUUUUGACGGUACUGUAAGAAUAAGGAUCGG
RNAcentral lists this ribosomal RNA (461 nucleotides) under uncultured bacterium. RNAcentral describes it as "bacterial SSU rRNA". It matches the Rfam family "Bacterial small subunit ribosomal RNA", at positions 40 to 496 of the family's 1533-position model. The record is from RNAcentral.